Long non-coding RNA from Taeniopygia guttata (zebra finch), 2581 nucleotides. NCBI's taxonomy places the organism in Eukaryota, Metazoa, Chordata, Aves, Passeriformes, Estrildidae. The record is from Ensembl.
GCUCGCCAUGCCCCUCACUGUUGGCCAGACGGUCCCUGCCACUGCCGCUUGGGCAGUGCCAGCCACUGUGGUUCUGGCACCGUUCAGCGCCUCUCUUCAUGUGAGGCGCCUGCAAGGAGAUGCCACUACCGCUGCCCCUGCCCUUCUGCCCGCAGCACAGCUGGCUUCAAAAGCGGCCAAGCAAGCACAGUUCCCUGUGGACUGUGCCAAGAUGGCUGUGGCUGUGCCAGGAAACAGCAGCUGGUGCCACUACCCCUGCCUUUCUGCCCACAGCAUGGCAGGCUAGAAGUGGCCAGGCAGGCACAGUUCACUGCAGGCCAUGCUGAGAUGGCAGCAGCCGCAUGGCCACGGCAGCCUCAUGGCCACCCCAGCAACCCCCAGCCCUCAGAAAAGAAAAACUGCGUGCAUUUUUUUUCCUUCUUAAAUAUGUCAUCACAGAGGCAUUACCAACUUCUCUAAUUGGAGAACAUGUCCAAUUAGAAACAUGUCCAUUAUCAGAGCCUUCAGAGACUGGCUCUGUUGGACAUAGUAGAAGCUUCAAGCAGCGUUCUCUCUCAGAAGCUGCUUCCAUGGCUUCCUCUGCCCUCUCUAAAUCCAGGCUCUUUUAAACCAACAAAAUCAGAUUUAGGAAAAACACAACAGGAGUGACAGCCUGAGCUUUAUGAAGUUUUCUGAAAUUCUGCAGUCAGGAAGAAUUUGACUACAACACCACUAUUUAAACACGUUGUUUCCCCUUAAGUUAACAAAACAGAGCACUGGAAAAGGGCAAGGUAAUUUCCAGAUUUGUAGCAUGUUUCUAGCUAAUCUAUCAAAACAAGAUAUACAAAUUUAACUCACAAGUAUCCUAUUUAAGUUUAAUAAUAGCAGAUCUAUUUAAUAGCAGAUCUAUGUAACCUGAAGAUAUAUUAACCAAAAGCUUCUUCUUAAAUUUAUUUUUAUUUCCUGCCACCAUCUCAGUAUCUAGAAUAUAAUAGAAAAUGGGAUAAAAUCAUAUUCAAAACAAACCUUGUUGAAAUAACUGGUGAUGAUAGCUCUGAGCUCAGCAGCAGACAAAGAAACUAGUUUCCCUAUUACGUUAUGCUGGCUCUGUGAAAGACUCUGAGAAGAUAACCUAAGUAAGUGCUGGUGAUUAUGGAUACUUUCAUUCUUGUAAUCAAUUGCAGCUACAAGGGUUUCAAUUCCUUCUUCUAGCUGGAAAAGAAUAUGUUCUUCCUACAGAGAAACACAUGAGUGAGAUCUUUACAAAAAAAAAAGCUCAGAAUUAAUCUUUCAAGACAUCUUUAGCUUCAUUCUCAAGAGCAAACCUGAACUUAAUGGUAAGGUGAACUAGUAGCACAGACAAUGGAAUAGGAAAACAAGAGGUAGAUUGCAAAUCUAGAACAUUUGUUUUUUCCUAACACAAUACAGGGGUUGAUCAAAUGGCUCAUCACAAAACUAGAAGUCAUGUUUUCCUUUUUAUCCUUCCCUCAUCCUCACCACAGUUUGACUCCUGCUAUUUUUAAUUUUUUUAAUGUACUAUUUUCUGUUAGAUUAAUGAAUUAAUCAAUCAGCCAGUAAGGAGUUUGGUGAUCAUGACUUAUGUAGGGAAGUGGCAGAAAUGCCUGGCCUGAAGCACUGCAGACUUUGAUGAGUGAGGCAAGUAGGGGUCUUUCUGGAACAUUAUCGCCUAAGCCAUAGUCUCAUAUUGCUUCUCAAGACCUAAAAGCAAUCUGUGCAUUUUAUAUUAAUUUAUUUUAUCUUCAACAAAAUGAUACUGAUCAACACCAAGUAAUUGGCCAUCCAUGUAAUAUGACUUUUUUCACUGUAGAAAAUAAGUAGUACUCCUUCAGGUGAAAUUUGCUUUUUCACAAGAUUCUAUGAAAAAAAUCAAGGGGCAUUACUAUGUGAAUACAUGGCUUGUUCUGUAUCCUAACAUUAAAAUACCUGCCUGUGAUAAACAAAUUAAGUUCUGGUUCCCUUACUUCUCAUUAUAUGACUCUUAGACUAAUAGAGUUUGGCAAGACACAAUCUGACUUAUGUUCCUCUGAUCUUAAACUUCAUUCACCAGUAUAUACUUGGUGCUAUUAUAGAAGUACUCUAAAAUAUCUAUUUACAAAAGUAUCCAACCUCUGCUCCUUAUAUCUAGCUUACCUGAUAUUUGGAGACAUUUUAGGUUAUGACUGAAAUUCUUUAUUAUCAAACAAUACCUAAAACCUGUAUUUAUCUCAGAAGUGCUUACUUACUUCAGUUGACAAAACUUUACCAUCUUUCAGUUUCUUAUCCAUACUAUUUCUCCUUCUGAGCAGCUGAUCCCUUUCCAUUUGGAGAACCUGUAUUUCUUCCAAAGUGUCUGACUUGUCAGUGGUGCUGCCCUGAAGCUGCAUACAGCAUGCUGAAUUGGGUAGACAAUUGCAUACUAUCUUUGUUCAAAGCCAAAAAAAAAAAACCCACAGCAACCACAGAUAUAAAAAUGAGAUAUUCCUUUCCAGUAACAAAAAUGUAGGUGACACUGUCACAUUCUGAAGUGAAAAAAUUGCUUGUUUCUUGUAAUGGGACCUCAUUUACUCUGAGUGACAGAUACCACUAAAAAAAAAAAAAAAAA